Molecule: long non-coding RNA, 4104 nt
Filed under: Homo sapiens (human)
Lineage: Eukaryota; Metazoa; Chordata; Mammalia; Primates; Hominidae
Description: HSALNT0312194
Source: RNAcentral
UACAUUCUUUUGCUGUUUCGCUGUUGCUGAAUGAAUGACUGAAUGAAAGCAUCUCCCAAGGCUGCCUGCUUGCUUACCUUCUCACAUGAUGCUUCUUUGCCUCUCUGUUCCUUAAGGAGCUUUCCCUCCCUUCUUUCUUGCCCCACAGUCCCCAAACUCACCAGUGUGGGCAGAAGGAGAAAAGGAAUGUUCUAUCCAGCCCCAUACCCCAGCACCUGCUGGGCAACUUUGUCUUCCCUUCUGCAAAAGAAAAGAAGUCCCCUCAAACACAGGAGAGGAUGGGAAAAGGCAUCUCUCUAAGCAGUAACCCUGGCAGGGCCCUUCAGGAUUCCCAAAUUCCCAAUUUAUAGACAGGGAAACUGAUCCCUAGAGAAGGGAAGGGACUUGCCCAUGUCCACACAGCAUGUUAGUGGGACACAUCAUGAAACAUAAAAGCAGGAAGAGGGUCUAGAAACCAUCUAGCCCUACCCCCUCAUUUAGAGAAAGGAAAACCGAGGCCCAGAGAGGGAGAGUUAGUGACAGAGCCACAACAAGAACUCAGAAGAGGGUCAGCUGGUGUGCAACCAGCUCAGUGACACAAAAGCCUGUGCUAGGGAUUUAAUGUUCUACUGUCGUGUCUUGAAAUUCUUCAUAUCUUAUCUGUAAAUGUGUAGUUUGUAAAUGAAGUCUGUGAGAUAACACAGCAGGCACCCAGGCCAACAGCCUCAGUUCAAGUGCAGUCCGGCCCCUCCCUCACCAGGUGGGUUCUCAGUGCCAGCUUCCCCAACCCCCUGCUAUCUCCUCCUCACAUCCCUUCUUCUCUCUCUUCCCCCCAACAGCUGCCAGUCUGCUAUCUGCAGGGCACUGGCACGGGAGGCUGAGCAUGCACAUCCCACAGCAUUUGGGUAGGACACGACUGCAGCCAUGCCUGCCCUAGAGGUUGAUGACAUCGUGGUGCCUUCAAGGGGGGAAACUGGCAGGGCAAGCCUUUCCCCUAUGCUAGAGCCUCUGACAUGGAGGUUGCAAGAUGUGGGGGUACCUGUCCACCAUGGAUUGGGGUGAAGGGCCUGUGGGAAAGGAGGAUGCCUGGCUUCCCUUCUCCGGGUCCUCUUGCCUCAGUGUAGGGGACCUGGCAGCAGAUGGGCACUGGUGGGCCACACUGCAGGGGAAGGCUCCUGGGUGCCUUGAGGGCCUCCGUGCUCCUCUCCAGUAGCUCCAUGCCCAAGGUAGCAUAGCAUUAAAUAGCAAAUACACAGCACAAGAGGGGCCACAGAAGUGGGGUGGGGCUUUAUGUUUGGGUACCUCUCUCCUGCCUGUGGAACAAAAGGCUUGUGUUUGCAAUGUGCCCUGGGCUGUCACAUUAGGUAGCUGUCCUGACUCAGGACUUCUGUUGCUCUGGCCACCAGCCCCCAGCACUCAGCACCGCUGGACAACACCGGUGUAUUCACGUUCAGUCUAGUGCGUUCCCGGCCCUGUGCUGGGCCUCUUUUCCCUGUUUUCUUGUUUGCAGCCUUGUCGUAACUGAGUGAGGUGUGCACUAUUAUUAGACUCAUUUUACAGGUGAGGAAAGACAGCUGCCCAUAGGCUGAGUUAACUUGUCCACGUCCUCCACCAGGGAAGCAAGAGAGCCAAGCUCCCCACCCAGGUGGCCUGGUGCUCCUGUCCUGGCCCGACAUGCGGGCAGUCGGGCCGUCGGGAAAGGAAAGCGCAGUGUAGAGGAGCUGCUUCUCACCGCCUCUCCUCCCCUCCCCACCUUCCCCGGGAACUCAUGCCCCUCCCCUGCACUCCUGCUCCUUGCCGGCUCGCCCUGGGCCGCUCCGAAGGGAGGAGACCACGUGACCCAGGUCACCGGUAACCAGGCAACCGUUCCAAGACACUGCUUUUCAUCCACUCUGGCUUCUACCUUAUUCAAUAUCUGCCAGGCGGGCAAGGCUCCUGGGAGCAUCCCUGAAGCCAUUUCUCUGGGCCAGGAGCCAGCUGUUCCCAAAAUGGCCACGAUGCCUCAGGAGGGAGGUUGACACCCUGUGCUCUCAGAAGCAGCUCAGAGCUCAGAGGCAGACCUCUACUCAUGCAAUUCUGCCUUCUGUGCAUGCAAUGGAUUGCUGCCAUCUCCAAUCAGCCACAAUGGGAGGCCACCUGCUAGACAUGGAAGAGCCACCGGAUGGAAGAAGCCUGGGUCUCUGAAAUACUGCUUGGAGUAGACUACUCUGCCUGCAAACUAGGAGCACUGAUUUUGGACUUUUUGGGAGGGACUUCUAUGCCCUCUGCAGUUUGCCUCUUCCUCUGCUAUUUUUUCAUGUAUGUGUAUGUUUUUUGCCUGUAUUUGCAAUGCCAGCCAUCAUUUGCCAUGUCUUCUAGCGGCAACCUGCAUUUAGCCCAGAUCUGCUGUGAUUAUUCCUUUUCACAAACCACAAUGACUCUGGAAAACCUGGCUGUAAACACCAGCACUGCCACCAGCUAAGGAUCUGUGAUCAGGAGUGCCAUCUCACGGUAACAGGAAGACAAAAGUGAAACCGGGCUGAUGCGAAUCACUGGGAAACUGGCUUUGGCACCUCCAGAGAAUGAACUGUUUCAUAGCCUAGCUGACCAUCCAUGAAAAUGGCUGCCUGGAGAGGCAGUGAUCAGCCCAUCCCUGCAGGGUGAAGAUAAGCUUGUGCAGGCCACUGGCUAACACAGUUCAUCCCAUGCCUCCUACAUACCAAGCACUGUGCCAGGCACUUUUCACGUCUGGCAUCCUCAGAAUCCUCCAAAAGGAGAGGUUCGUGGAGGAUAAUGCUGUCAGGCUUGGAAGCAGCAGUAGAGAUCACGUUGCCCAGCUCUUGGCAUCAUUGGUUCCCAAAGCUCUGAAUCCCCUGGAGAGCUUUUGUAAAAGGUCGGAUUCAGACAAUCCGGUGGAGCACUCUGAAAUUUAGAGGAAGUGGUCAAAUAGAAUUUUCUGGAAUUAUGGAAAUCUUCUAUUCUGUGCAUCUAGUAUAGUAGAAUCUAGUCACAUGUGGCUUUUGAGAACUGGAAAUAUGGCUAAUGCAACAGAGAAAGUGAAUUUUUACUUUUGAUUCAUUUAAAUAUAAAUGGUCACAUAUGACAUCACUGCCAUAUUGGACAUUGCAGUUCUGGAAGAUGGCAGAUGCAGCCCUCAGAAGAAUUAUCAGCCUGAAUGUCUGGGCGGAGCAGAGCACUACCUUCCCACUCACUCUUCCCCUCCUCUCGCCCCCUCCCCUGCCUCACUUGCAUCAGAUUAUGAUGUGAGCAAAAGCAGGAAACAGCUCUUUUGAUAGGCCUGUGAGACUUGCUGUUCGUUGGAGUAGCUAGGCUGCUCUGACUCAUACAGACCCAAAUCCUGGCAACCACUUUUAUGAAGAAAUGACAAUUCAGUCUACUACUUGUCCAUUUUACAUGCCCAAGGAAUGUGAGGGGCCUCUGCUUGGAUCUAGUUUUCAACCUAGUCUAUGGCAUUGAUUAUCCUUUUAAAAGACAAAAGAGGUGACUUCACGGGCACUUAACAUCUUGGCCAUACUGACCCCAGUUGCACGCUACGUAGGAAGUUUUAGUCCAUUUAAACUGAAGUUCCAAUUUUUUUUUUAACAACUAUUUAAAAAUUGUACAUGUCCCAUACAUGACAGAGAAAGGGUUGUCUGGUUGGAUGAUUUUUGGCUUGCAAAAAGAGAACACAAAAGAAAAGCAUACGUUUUAAUACUCAAGAGACCAAAUUUUCUGCUGAAGAGGAAAUGAACUACAUAUCCAGAAGGGUCCUACCAAGAGGCCAAACAGACUGUGUUCUCUUGGGGGAGUUCUCAGUGGUGAUGAGAACACCACUUUUUUUUUUUUUUUAGUCAUUUUCAAGGUGAGAUAUUGACUUGCUGCUGGAGCAGGACAACUGGUCUCUCUUUCAUUGCUAGCAGCAGAGUAAGGGUCUUGCAAGUUUCAGGCAGCAGCAGAGAAAGGGUCUUGCAAGUUUCAGUCCAAAGCAAGAAGAGCUAGGAUUGCACCAGCUGUCUCACCUACUCUGUGCUCACCUGUUUCUGGAUGAAGCACGGUGACAUCUGUUUUAUUGUAAAGAGAACCAACUUUGGAAUCAAAUGGAACCUGUAUUAAAAUCCUGAAUCCGUCACUAGCUUGGACAAGUCA